GCGCGCCGGGCGGCGGCGGCGGCCCCCGAGCAGGAGCCGCCGGAGCAGGUGGGGGCGGCGGCCCCGCCUCCGAGUCCCGACAGCACUGGAGCUGGCGACCGGGGAGCGAGCGGGGCGCACGAGCGCAGCACCCAGCGCAGCUCGGCCGCGGAGGCGCCGCGUCGAGCACGGGCGCUGCGGGCCGGAGCCCGGAGCCGAGAGGCGGCGGCGGCGGGGACGUCGGCCGAAGCGCGGGUCCUGCCGGGCCCCCACUCGCGGGCUCGGCGGGUUGCAGCACGGCCAAGUGCAGAGCAGAAACAACUCCCUUGGGACCAUUCAUAGGCAAAAGACACCCACACCGUGACAUAUGCCGGUGCCACCACCGCCACCGCCACCUCCUCCUCCUCUGCCUCCACCUCCCCCUCCUCUGGGUGCUCCUCCCCCGCCCCUACCAUCAGCGCCCCCGGUAAGACCUGCUUUUCUGUUUGGUUCACUGUUGCAGUAAGCUGCUUGGAAAUGCUCGGGCA
RNAcentral lists this long non-coding RNA (506 nucleotides) under Dasypus novemcinctus (nine-banded armadillo). RNAcentral's name for it is "lncRNA (ENSDNOG00000050945.1)". The record is from RNAcentral. Lineage: Eukaryota; Metazoa; Chordata; Mammalia; Cingulata; Dasypodidae.